UAAUACGGGGGGAACGAGCGUUGUUCGGAUUUACUGGGCGUAAAGGGCACGCAGGCGGGGAAUCAAGUCAGAUGUGAAAACCCAUAGCUUAACUCUGGGCCUGCAUUUGAUACUGUUUCUCUUGAGUACGGGAGAGGAUGGCGGAAUUCUUGGUGUAGCGGUGAAAUGCGUAGAUAUCAAGAAGAACACCGGUGGCGAAGGCGGCCAUCUGGCCCGAUACUGACGCUCAUGUGCGAAGGCAAGGGGAGCAAACAGGAUUAGAUACCCUGGUAGUCCUUGCAGUAAACGAUGGAUACUAGGUGUUGGAGGUAUCGACUCCUCCAGUGCCGCAGCUAACGCAUUAAGUAUCCCGCCUGGGGAGUACGCUCGCAAGAGUGAAACUUAAAUGAAUUGACGG
RNAcentral lists this ribosomal RNA (397 nucleotides) under uncultured bacterium. RNAcentral's name for it is "bacterial SSU rRNA". It matches the Rfam family "Bacterial small subunit ribosomal RNA", at positions 521 to 916 of the family's 1533-position model. The record is from RNAcentral.